This is a non-coding RNA of Neolamprologus brichardi, 647 nucleotides long. NCBI's taxonomy places the organism in Eukaryota, Metazoa, Chordata, Actinopteri, Cichliformes, Cichlidae. The record is from RefSeq and is a predicted model, not a curated record.
UGACACUUACAUCUGACGAUGUUGAUGAUGACACUUAGAGCAACACCCAAAAGGACGGCCCUCAUUCUUAUCUCCCUCUAUAAAAACUGUGAGCUGCCCAUUAUAUCUUCAAAUCCUCAGAUUUUCCUCAACAUCUUUGCAGAGUAGGACAUUUGCAUUGGAAACAGAAAUGAGCAAACUGGAAAAGGCAAUGGAAGAAGUUCUUGACAUAUUUAAACAGAAGGUUUACACAUGUACACAGAGCAAAACAAUGAGGAAAAAAGAGCUGGACAGAACCCUGAGAGAAGAGCUGGAUAAUUGGCUGCAGAACUGCAAGGAUAAGACAAAACGUGACAACAUCUUGAGGGAGCUGGAUGAAAACCCACACGACUGUGUGAACUUUGAGGAGUUUGUUCACUAUGUGACUCGACUGAUGAUGUGCGGUCAUUACUUCUUACAAAAAUAGACUGUUACUCUCAGCUUGUUUCUAACACAGGAAUUGGAAUUGAAGAUCUUAGGUUGACUGUGUUCAGCAGAAAAUAUCGUCCUCUCAACCCAGUUAAUAUCAUUUUUUUGUCAUUACAGCAACUCUUUCACCUUUGUAUUGAUUGAUAACAUAAAUGUGAAUUUAUUAAAACUCUCAGAGUUUAUAUAGUUGUGUAUUUAAA